UCUUGGGCAUUAUGGUGGAAGGGAUAGCUCAGUGGUUUGAGCAUUGGCCUGUUAAACUCAGGGUUGUGAACUGAAUCCUUAAGGGGGCAUUUAGGAACUGGUGUAA
Gopherus evgoodei (Goodes thornscrub tortoise) is the source of this 106-nucleotide long non-coding RNA. RefSeq lists it as uncharacterized. The transcript has 3 exons. NCBI's taxonomy places the organism in Eukaryota, Metazoa, Chordata, Testudines, Testudinidae. The record is from RefSeq and is a predicted model, not a curated record.